UUUCCUACGGGGGGCAGCAGUAGGGAAUGUUGCUCAAUGGGGGAAACCCUGAAGCAGCAACGCCGCGUGGAGGAUGAAGGUUUUCGGAUUGUAAACUCCUUUUGUUAGAGAAGAUAAUGACGGUAUCUAACGAAUAAGCACCGGCUAACUCCGUGCCAGCAGCCGCGGUAAUACGGAGGGUGCAAGCGUUACUCGGAAUCACUGGGCGUAAAGAGCGCGUAGGCGGGAUAGCAAGUCAGAAGUGAAAGCCCAAGGCUCAACCAUGGGACUGCUUUUGAAACUGUCAAACUAGAGUACGGGAGAGG
This 305-nucleotide ribosomal RNA is filed under the name uncultured bacterium. RNAcentral describes it as "bacterial SSU rRNA". It matches the Rfam family "Bacterial small subunit ribosomal RNA", at positions 335 to 657 of the family's 1533-position model. The record is from RNAcentral.